RNAcentral lists this ribosomal RNA (450 nucleotides) under uncultured bacterium. Its description in RNAcentral is "bacterial SSU rRNA". It matches the Rfam family "Bacterial small subunit ribosomal RNA", at positions 27 to 483 of the family's 1533-position model. The record is from RNAcentral.
GAACGAACGCUUGGCGGCGUGCUUAACACNUGCAAGNUCGAACGAGGUCCAGCCGAGCUUUCGGGCAAAGCGAAGACCUAGUGGCGAACGGGUGCGUAACACGUGAGGAACCUGCCCCGGACUUGGGAAUAACAGUCGGAAACGUCUGCUAAUACCGAAUACCUUCGUAGCGUCGCAUGGCGCAUCGAAGAAAGCUUUUGCGGUUUGGGAGGGCCUCGCGGCCUAUCAGCUAGUUGGCGAGGUAACGGCUCACCAAGGCAUCGACGGGUAGCUGGUCUGAGAGGAUGAUCAGCCACACUGGGACUGAGACACGGCCCAGACUCCUACGGGAGGCAGCAGUGGGGAAUAUUGCACAAUGGGCGAAAGCCUGAUGCAGCAACGCCGCGUGCGGGAAGAAGGCCUUAGGGUUGUAAACCGCUUUCAGCAGGGAAGAAACUGACGGUACCUGCA